Molecule: ribosomal RNA, 492 nt
Filed under: uncultured bacterium
Lineage: Bacteria
Description: partial 16S ribosomal RNA
Rfam family: Bacterial small subunit ribosomal RNA
Source: RNAcentral
AGUGAACGCUGGCGGUAGGCUUAACACAUGCAAGUCGAACGGCAGCACAGUAAGAGCUUGCUCUUACGGGUGGCGAGUGGCGGACGGGUGAGGAAUACAUCGGAAUCUACUUUUUCGUGGGGGAUAACGUAGGGAAACUUACGCUAAUACCGCAUACGACCUACGGGUGAAAGCAGGGGAUCUUUGGACCUUGCGCGAUUGAAUGAGCCGAUGUCGGAUUAGCUAGUUGGAGGGGUAAAGGCCCACCAAGGCGACGAUCCGUAGCUGGUCUGAGAGGAUGAUCAGCCACACUGGAACUGAGACACGGCCCAGACUCCUACGGGAGGCAGCAGUGGGGAAUAUUGGACAAUGGGCGCAAGCCUGAUCCAGCCAUACCGCGUGUGUGAAGAAGGCCUUCGGGUUGUAAAGCCCUUUUGGUGGGAAAGAAAAGCAGCAGGUUAAUACCCCGCUGUUCUGACGGUACCCAAAGAAUAAGCACCGGCUAACUUCGUG